UAUGCGGUUCGAGUGUUCACAAAACACCGGUUGACCUUGAAAAUGACAUGGGACGAUGAUGGGUAAAAAACAAUCUCGUCGAAUAACAUUUCUCAAUUAUCAACGAGUUUAAGCCGUUGACACUGCAUUGCAUGGGAAGAAAAGGUGAUAUUAGAACAGUGUUCAGAUGGAUCUAUUCAGUGUCAUAACUGUAAAAAAAUGGUCGCAUCGUCAGUGCUAUGACAUGUCGGACACAGACCUAAAAUCAUGGUCUCCAUCGUACCUUAAGUUUGUGUGUCAAAAGUGUGGAUUUCGUAAUGGAAAGUACGACGUCGAAGCUGCACUCAAGAGCAGUCAUGUGCAAUAGGUGCGUAUCUAAAAUUCUUGUCAAGAGAGUCUACAGACAGUUGGUGCCCUGGAGAUUGGAGACUCCCAUCAUAUGCUGUCACUAAAUGGAGCGCAGUAAAUUUUGCGACCUACACAUUUUCCAAC
This is a long non-coding RNA of Dreissena polymorpha, 471 nucleotides long. RefSeq lists it as uncharacterized. NCBI's taxonomy places the organism in Eukaryota, Metazoa, Mollusca, Bivalvia, Myida, Dreissenidae. The transcript is spliced from 3 exons. The record is from RefSeq and is a predicted model, not a curated record.